GGCCUCCUGGCGCUCACCACAAGCUGUGUUCUUGCACUGACUAUAUAGAAAGAAAAGGCAGAGCAAACCCACGCGCAUGUACACCUCAGCCCAGGCCACUGUGCCUGGUCUGUAUUGUGAAUGGGAAGAUGG
Molecule: small nucleolar RNA, 132 nt
Organism: Nannospalax galili (Upper Galilee mountains blind mole rat)
Lineage: Eukaryota; Metazoa; Chordata; Mammalia; Rodentia; Spalacidae
Source: Ensembl